Molecule: ribosomal RNA, 484 nt
Filed under: uncultured bacterium
Lineage: Bacteria
Description: partial 16S ribosomal RNA
Rfam family: Bacterial small subunit ribosomal RNA
Source: RNAcentral
AUUGAACGCUGGCGGCAGGCCUAACACAUGCAAGUCGAGCGGAUGAAGGGAGCUUGCUCCUGGAUUCAGCGGCGGACGGGUGAGUAAUGCCUAGGAAUCUGCCUGGUAGUGGGGGAUAACGUCCGGAAACGGGCGCUAAUACCGCAUACGUCCUGAGGGAGAAAGUGGGGGAUCUUCGGACCUCACGCUAUCAGAUGAGCCUAGGUCGGAUUAGCUAGUUGGUGGGGUAAAGGCCUACCAAGGCGACGAUCCGUAACUGGUCUGAGAGGAUGAUCAGUCACACUGGAACUGAGACACGGUCCAGACUCCUACGGGGGGCAGCAGUGGGGAAUAUUGGACAAUGGGCGAAAGCCUGAUCCGGCCAUGCCGCGUGUGUGAAGAAGGUCUUCGGAUUGUAAAGCACUUUAAGUUGGGAGGAAGGGCAGUAAGUUAAUACCUUGCUGUUUUGACGUUACCAACAGAAUAAGCACCGGCUAACUUCGUG